CCUACGGGUGGCAGCAGUGGGGAAUAUUGGACAAUGGGGGGAACCCUGAUCCAGCCAUGCCGCGUGUGUGAAGAAGGCCCUCGGGUUGUAAAGCACUUUCAGUGAGGAAGAACGCCUGGUGGUUAAUACCCAUCAGGAAAGACAUCACUCACAGAAGAAGCACCGGCUAACUCCGUACCAGCAGCCGCGGUAAUACGGAGGGUGCGAGCGUUAAUCGGAAUUACUGGGCGUAAAGCGCGCGUAGGUGGCUUGAUAAGCCGGUUGUGAAAGCCCCGGGCUCAACCUGGGAACGGCAUCCGGAACUGUCAAGCUAGAGUGCAGGAGAGGAAGGUAGAAUUCCCGGUGUAGCGGUGAAAUGCGUAGAGAUCGGGAGGAAUACCAGUGGCGAAGGCGGCCUUCUGGACUGACACUGACACUGAGGUGCGAAAGCGUGGGUAGCAAACAGGAUUAGAUACCCCAGUAGUC
Molecule: ribosomal RNA, 465 nt
Filed under: Vreelandella stevensii
Lineage: Bacteria; Pseudomonadati; Pseudomonadota; Gammaproteobacteria; Oceanospirillales; Halomonadaceae
Description: partial 16S ribosomal RNA
Rfam family: Bacterial small subunit ribosomal RNA
Source: RNAcentral